AUGAGGAGUAAAAGUACUUUCCCUGCUGUAGUUCUUUCUGUUUCAGUCAGAGGGUGGCAGUCGACCUGGUUCUACUGUAAGGACCAACCGACCCCUGGUCAGUCGACUGGCCUUCUCCCGUUUUCCAUAGAGCGAGUAAAGAAGCCUUCUCCCUUGAAAGUGACUCCAGCUGAGAAAGUGGAGGUGAACAUGUUGGUUGAGCGAGUAGUCCAACUUGUCCGCGACGGUGUGACUGGCGUGGACUUGUUAGAGGUGUUUCUUAGUCGACGCAUCCAGCCACUCCAACCCGUGAUCAUCCAAUGUGGAUGUACUCGGGUAUUGGUGACAACACUCGGGUCCACCCGGAGGAAGUUGACAAGGAGACGGUGGUGCAGUGGUUGCAGGGCAUCACUAGCAACAAGGACAACCCCAGGGGGUCUAGGAGGAUUCCUCCACUCGACAACACCAACGAACCAGACAAGGUCUAACUCUUUUCUUCCGAGUGUCCUUUGUUCUGACAUGUAUUUAUUCUCGAAACCGAUUGAUAUCCGCUCGACUCUGUGCCUUGCAGAUCUACACUAA
RNAcentral lists this ribosomal RNA (561 nucleotides) under Triticum aestivum (bread wheat). Its description in RNAcentral is "partial small subunit ribosomal RNA". Lineage: Eukaryota; Viridiplantae; Streptophyta; Magnoliopsida; Poales; Poaceae. The record is from RNAcentral.